This 490-nucleotide ribosomal RNA is filed under the name uncultured bacterium. RNAcentral's name for it is "partial 16S ribosomal RNA". It matches the Rfam family "Bacterial small subunit ribosomal RNA", at positions 30 to 507 of the family's 1533-position model. The record is from RNAcentral.
AUUGAACGCUGGCGGCAGGCCUAACACAUGCAAGUCGAACGGUAACAGGAAGCAGCUUGCUGCUUUGCUGACGAGUGGCGGACGGGUGAGUAAUGUCUGGGAAACUGCCCGAUGGAGGGGGAUAACUACUGGAAACGGUAACUAAUACCGCAUAACGUCGCAAGACCAAAGAGGGGGACCUUAGGGCCUCUUGCCAUCGGAUGUGCCCAGAUGGGAUUAGCUAGUAGGUGGGGUAACGGCUCACCUAGGCGACGAUCCCUAGCUGGUCUGAGAGGAUGACCAGCCACACUGGAACUGAGACACGGUCCAGACUCCUACGGGAGGCAGCAGUGGGGAAUAUUGCACAAUGGGCGCAAGCCUGAUGCAGCCAUGCCGCGUGUAUGAAGAAGGCCUUCGGGUUGUAAAGUACUUUCAGCGGGGAGGAAGGGAGUAAAGUUAAUACCUUUGCUCAUUGACGUUACCCGCAGAAGAAGCACCGGCUAACUCCGUG